This 35735-nucleotide long non-coding RNA is filed under the name Cicer arietinum (chickpea). Its description in RNAcentral is "long non-coding RNA (CARI_LNC002608)". Lineage: Eukaryota; Viridiplantae; Streptophyta; Magnoliopsida; Fabales; Fabaceae. The record is from RNAcentral.
CAUUGUCUUUAAAUUUUUUCAAUAAUGCAAUUGCCUUGUCAACAUCAUGGCUUUUGCAUAAAGCAUCCAAUAUAGAAUUGUAAGUAUAUAUAUUAGGUGGUUGGCCCCUAUCAUGCAUCUCACCAACAGGCUCCAAAGCAUAUGUAAUUCUCCCCGAUUUGCACAAACCAUCAAUGAGGGAAUUGUAAGUUACCACAUCAGGAACAAUUUUUUGGGACUGCAUUUCUUUGAAGAGGAUCAUGGCUUCAUCCACCAUUUUAUUCUUGCAGAGUCCAUUAAUCAUGAUAUUGUAGCUCCUAACGUCAGGAGCCACUCCCCUUUGGGCCAUAAUGUUGAGUAUACUCUUAGCCUUGUUCACUUCAUUAACGAGGCAAUAUCCAUCUAUUAAACAGUUGUAAGUAACAAUAUCCGGCUUUAUGUCAUUUUUCAUCAUCACAAGAAACACAUUUUUAGCUUCUUUCAACUUCCCUUCCUUACAAAAAGCAUCAACCAAUAUAUUAAAAGUAUACACAUUUGGAUUGAUGUUUUCCAAUGUCAUUUUAUAUAACAAAUCAAUUGCUUCUUUUAAUUGACCCAUGAUGCAAAAGCCACUAAUUAGUGCAGUGUAAGUUUAUCUUUGCACAGACUAUCAAUAAUCGUGCUGUAAAUUACCACAUUAGGUUGAACCAAUUUCCCAUCAACUCGUCUCAGCAACUCUAGAGAGAAAAACCCUUGUCAUGAAACCCUUGUCAUUGAUCAAAGUCCCGUAACUAACGUGAUUCAACUGAAAUCCUUGUGCUACCACCUUGUCAUGAAAGUGCAAUGCUUUAUGAACCUCACCUUUGAGUGAGAUACCCUUGAUUAGUGUUGUGAAAGUUAUUGUAUUGGGAUGAUAACCCCUUUUGAAAAUCUUUGAGAAAACAGAAAACAAUUGGCAUAAACAAUUGAUUAAGAGAUUGCAAGUUACAAAGUCAGGGUUGAUUCCCCUUAGUUCCAUUUGUUGAGAAAGGGAAAUAGCGAUUGAGUAAUGCUUAGCUUUCACAAUGGAACCUAAAAUCUUGCCAAAUUCAAUGGGUGGUGGGGUAGGAUUCUUAUGGAGCAAAGAAUUGAACAAUGAAAUGGAAUUGUCAAGAUGAGGAUUAUUGAAUUGAGGGAAUAGGGUUGAAGCUGAGAAGCAAAAAGAGGGAAUGAAAUUAAAAGGAAGAAACUUUUUGGGAAUGAAAAGAGAAACAAACCUGAACCUAGUUGAAAACAAAAACAUUGUUUGUUGUGGUUGCAAGUGGCUGCGAUAAACAAAAUCAUAUGUUAUAUAUAGCUUUUUAUCAAACUCUCUUAUAUCUCUCGUUAUCACUUGAGAUUGAUUUUUGGAACCACAAAAUACAAAUAAUAAUAAUUAUAAUUGACUAUUUUAAAUAAUAAUUAAAUAAUUGAUUUUGCUAAAUAACUUGACAUUUAAAUAAAAAAACACAUUAAACAUUAAAGAAAAUAUUGCUUUCUUUCGUAGAGAUUCAUUAAAGAGACACAAUUUGUUAUUGAUGAGUGUAUUAUUCUCACACAUAGAGUUUGAGUCUUCUAUUAAAGUUUAAUUUUGUAUUGAUAAUAAUAUAAAUAAAUUUUAUAAACUCUACUAGAAUUUGAAGUACAUUGGUUCUAAAUAAGUUUUGAUAUAUGCCAUAUAAUACUAACUAUAAUCUUUAUGCCCAAUAUGUAUGUCUUUUGGUUCUAGUGUAAAACAAAUAAUUUUAAAACUUUUGUACUUUGAGAACUAAAUGUGUUGUCAUUGUCUCUCGUAUUAGUAGCAGAAGAAGAUAGUGUCAUCAAUUAAUUAUUCAAAACAAUGACACUUGUUUUAUUUAAAAAUAACAAAAAAAUAUCAUUAUUUAUAAUUUCAAUUACAAUUCUGAAAUUAGUGAUAUUAUUGAGGAUUUUUAAAAUAUAUAAAAAAAAUAUUUAUAGUUGAAUGAGUAAAAAAAAACAAUCAUGGUUGCUUAACCUAGUUGCCCAGAUUAAAGAGACAUAUGUUGAUACACAUAUAAUACACCAUUGAAGUUUCUUUCCAAUUUUCAAAAUAUUCAUCAAUUUUUUUAAUAUAUAAGCAUGUUUUUAUACAAUUAAAUCAUAAACAAAUUUGAAUUGAAUAUUAUAUAAUAAAAAAAAAUAAACUUAAAUUAUUGACAUUGAAUUUUGUCAUCAAAGACAAACCCAACUGGAAACAAUUUAAUUAUAAAUAAAUGCAUUUGAAACCAUUUUUAAAAAUUGUUUAUUGUGGGUAUUAACACAUGAAAAUCAAAGUUGUUUAUAAAAAAAAAUUAUUUUUAAACCCUAAACCCUAUUAUUUGAUUUCCUUAUUAUUUGAAAGCAAAAGGAGAACAAUCAUACCUUCCAUCUAUAUAUAUUGAAAUGAAAAUCGUGUAUAUUCUAAUUGAUAACCUAUAUAAUAUUUAUUGUAUUUGAAAGAAAAUAUUUAUUUAAAAAAUUUGAAUUGAAUUAUUUAGAUUGAUUAGAUUUUAAAAAUCAAUAAAGUUUCAACGUCUUCUUCUUCAAAAAAAAAAAAGCUUUAAUGUCAAUUUCGUUGUUUUAACAAGAAUUUAGUUUUGGUGACUACAAAUAAAAAAACUUUUUCUCCUUAUUAAAUUGAGAAAAAACAAACGUUGUAUCAAAGAUAUUUCUAGUAACAUUAUAUAUACCAAUUAAAUUUAAAAUGAAUUUAAUAUCUAUAAAUGAUAAUUGUAAGAAAUAUUUUAUGUAUAAUUAAGUGAUUAAACUUAUAUGGUUAAGUUAAUGAUAAAUUGUUCUAGAAAAUAUGAGUGUAAAUUUUAAUAGAAGGAAUUUUUUAUUGCUUGUUAUGGGCAGAUUAUUUGAGUAAAUCUCUAAUUGUGUCUAUAAAAUAUUGAUCAAUAUGAAGUGAGUAAGAUUCAUUAGGUCAACUGAGAGAAGAUGUAUUUGUCUUUAGAGAAGGGUGGAUUAGGAGUUUGAGAUUUGAAAGUUUUUAAUAAAGUUUUAUUAGAUAAAAGGCGUGGAGGUUAAAAAUGGAGUUAGAAGGUCUCUGAAUAAAAAUGUUGAUCAAUAAAUAUAGAGUGGAAGUUAGGGGAUGUAUUGAAUAUGAAUGGUUUGAUAAAAAAAUUGUUUACAAUUAUUGGGAAUUAGAGUAAUAUUUUGUUUCAGAAGGAUCCGUGGUUGGUUGGUAGGGUUUUGUGUGAGAAAUUUAGUGGGUCGUUUUAUUUGUCUUUGCAACAAGAGCAAAGUGUAGAGAUCAUGUUAGAGUUGUUGCGAUUGGAGGGUAGAGAUGACAAAUGCAGUUGUUUGUGUGAGAGAAGGAAUUAGUGGAACAAUGUAGGAUUUUAUUGGCUAACGUUCAUUUGCUGGUUAAUGUAGUAGAUAAGUGGUCGUGGAAUAAUACGGAAAGAUAAUUAUAUUCAGUAAAGGAGACAUAUUUUGUGUUGCGGGAGAAGUUUUCUGCAGAUGUCAUCGCACCUCCAUUUUAAGACCUAGUGUGGCAUUCUUUGGUUCAUUCAAAAGUAUCAUUAUUUAUUUGGAGACUGUUUCAAAAUAGGUUGUCUACAAAGGAUAUUUUGUUCCAAUGAGGAAUCAUUUCUUUUGAAGAUCAACAAUGUAUAGCAAGUUGCAGGGAAGUUGAAACAACUCAUUGUUCGCUCUUUGUGUGUCCUCUUUUUGAAUCCAUGUGGUAUGAUGUUUUGAAUUGGUUUGGACUAUCUGAUGUGUUUCCUAUGGAUGCAAUCAAUCACGCUAACCAAUUUGAUGGUCUUUUCCGUGCGGUCGUGUAUUGCAUCAAAGAAUUAAUUUAGUUUGCUUUGUGGUUAGAGGACGAUUUGAAAAUCAAGAAAUGUGGCAAUUUUUUGUUCAUAUGUAUUGAAUGCAAAUCUUAUUAUUGAGCAAGUUAAACUUUUAGCAAUGAGGUUGAUUGUGACACUCUAAACUCCGAAGUAGCAUAUAUAUAAUAAUUUAUACAAGAUUUUUUUGAGAAAAAUUUACAACAGAUAAAGAAAGUUUAUUUCCAUGUAAAUAAAAUUUUUAUAAUUAAUUUAGUAUAUCUUUAACAUCCCGCUUUUUCGGGACAUUAACUAACAGAAAUCCUAAACGUAAAAUUACAAAUUCAUUAUUUAUUUAUUUAUGAUUGUCUUAAAUACCCAUUUACUUUAAAAUCAUUUAAUAACUAUUUUAAUUAUAUUUCAUCAUAUAAUAAAUUAGAGUAUUUGCAAUUACUAAAAGUAAAUUUAAUACAUUAAACAAAAGAAACUCCUAGAGUCAAAACUCUCAAUAUUUUACUACCUAAACAUAAAUCCUAGUUGGUCAUAAACUUUGGACUUGUGGAAAACUCACCAAACAAGUCUAACACUGAUACAGAAGUAUCUUGGAGCCUCUAACUGCAUGCUAUUUUACUUUAUCGCAUUUCUCCUAUUAGGUUGAUCGUGACGUUAUUUGCUCAAGUAACACUGUAUGUGACGUCCUGUCAAAUGUAAGGGUCAUCUCCAAAUAACAAACACAGAGCAAACAUGCAUGUAUAUAUAGUUGCUAUAGCAAAAUAUAAAUAAAUCAGUUACUUCAUUUAACAGUUAAAAUCACAACGCACCAAAGAUACAAUGACAAUUAAAAGAUAAUAGUACAAUGUUUACAUAAUUAAUAACAUUAAUUCACCAAUCCAAGAGGUACAAUAACAAUAAAAUAUAGAAGUACUAUAUCACAUAUUUAACAACGUUAACUCACCCAAAAGAUACAAUGUAUAAAACACUAGUCACACUUUAAGCAACGCAUACCCAAACAGACCUUAUUACUUAAUCUAUAUGCCAAUAUAAUGAUUCCGGAAUAUCGCCUCCCCCACAAUGGCAUUUCGUGGGUCCUUCCAAGCAACACCACUAACUCGAGCUUCGUGGGUCCUUCCAAGCAACACCACUAGCUCAACAUCCCCGCAAGGAUCUGUGGCCUCCAACCGAUUAUGGACGCACCACUACACGACUAUGAAUGAAUGCAUGAAUGUGGACACCUUAAUAAAAUAUAAUGAGAUACUAACUUAUUAACGACAUAUCACAUAACAUUUAUUAUUCACCCUUUGAAUAUGUUCACACAACCAUUAUAACACCAUAUCACAUAACAUUUAUUUUCCACACUUUGAAUAUGUUCAACACAACCAUUAUAACAACACAUCACAUAACAUUUAUUCUUCACACUUUGAAUAUGCUCAGCACAACCAUUAUAACAACAUAUCACAUAACAUUUAUUUUCCACACUUUGAACAUGUCAAGCACAACAAUUAUUAAUAUUCAUUUUGAAUAUAACACACAAACAAAAACAAUAAAUAACAUCACAGUACAUUUAUAUCACAUAUAAUUCAAAUAGGAAAGCGAAUGGAGUGAUGCCCUUACCAUUACUAGAGUUAUAUUUAGAAUUAUGCUUUACAAACUCUUGUCUCACUCAUUUCACACCUGCUGCUGUACGAGCACGGUUUCUCCCUCUCGGAAUGUCAUUUCGCCGAUCCGACCGUUGAAAACGUGAAUCUAAAUGUUGCGAACCUGCUGUCCAAAACUCAGCCCGAUCUAACGGUUAACGAAUGCGCAAUGGAUGAUUUUCUGAUACUGAUUUAACAAAUUCGGGAAUGGAGUUACUCCUGUCUUUUCUCUUUUGGUGGUUGUCUUUUCUAUCAAAGUGAUCUCUCUCUUUUUCUCUCAUAAACCUUUCCUUUGAGAGUGUUUUUUUAAUGGAAGACGUCUGUUUUGUUUUUGUUUCCUUUUUGUCAAAGGAUGAACUUUAAGCCACAAAUGGGAAACGUUAAGCCAGAAGCGGAGGACGUUAAGGCAGGAGUGGGAACCUUAAAACAGAAGUGGGGAACGUUGACAGAAGUGGAGAAAGUUAAGGUGGGACCUUAAGCCAGGCGUGGAGAACGUUAAGGUGGGUAACGUGGUAUUAAAUGGAGAAAGUGAUAUUUCAACUAAGACAUUUUUAACCGUUCCUUUUAUUAUUAUUAUUAAUAAUAACUAAAACAUUGCAGUUAUCACGUUCCUCUAAAUAUACAUGUAACAAUUUAAAUUUAUUUAUCAAUUAAAACAUUGCAAUUUUAAUUAACUUGACUUAACUAUAAUUUCUUAAUUUAAUUCCAAAAACUUAGUAGUACUUAUAUAGUUUUCAUACAACUCUUAUUCUCGGUAUCAAUUAUGAGAGCGGAAUUUCUCUCGAACUUGAACUUUAAGAAUCAUUAAUUCGUAAUAACUGCGAUUUCGAAAACACAGGGCCAAGUCAAUCAAACACAAACAACGAAUGAGGUGAAUUUCGAAAGCAUGUUGGUAGUAUAAUGUAAGUAACAAGAACACACAAUUAAUCAUAAUAAAAUUAUUUCAUCACACAAAUAUUCCUAAAAAAAAAAAUCACAUUAUAAAGUUAAAAUCUCUAAAGGAAAAUCAAAAUAUUUCACAAAUUAUCUCAGAGAAAUUAUUAUUGCAUGCGAUACAUAUUAAUCACAACAAAACAAUCACAAGAAAAUGCAACGAUAUGCAUGAGCUUAGACUCUACUUCACAAUGUGGUACCAUUCUAACUCUGAAGUAUUUGGUUAUGAGGUUUGAUACUAUGCCACUACCCGAGUGGACGGACAAUUCAAAUUGGUCCUGUCUUCAAAGAUCUCUAAACUCAAUCCGAGACACAUAUAUGCGACAAUUGAGGUAAACUUGUGUUGCAUGGUAGCUCUUGAUAUUUGGAGCGUUACCUCCAAGUCACCUAGGAAUUCCCCACCUGAAUACCUCUAAGGUCUAACAAUUUUGCUUUAAGGUUCAACAAUAGACCACCACGAUAAGAUUCAUUUAGUUGUAUUUCCCCAAAAUCAUUAGGUUUGUCAGACCAUACCUAUAUGAUGAUAAAAUAUUCUCCAUUUUAAAAAUUAUCAACAUCUAUUUUCUCCCUUCAUUUGUCUAGACUACUCCAUUAAGAGCAUUAUACAAGUUGAAAUCAUCACUAUUUCAUGGGUUACUUCAAAAUUUCUAUCACAAAUUUAUAAUAUCACUAACAUCAUGAUCACAUAAACUUAUUACAAAUUUAUAGCAUCACUAAUUAAUCAUAAAUCAUCAUUAUCACAUAAAUUUAUCACAAAUUUAUAAUAUCACUAUCAUAAAUCAUAUAUCAUUAUCAUCAUCAAAGAAUUUUACAUCAUGCAUUGCAUCCAUAUUUUAUUAUCACUUUACAUAAACUCAUCUAAUCGGACAUAUGCACCAAAUUCAUUUGAAAUAAAAUAUCACAAUAAUAUCAAAUAUCACACAUUUAACGAAAUUAAAUCAAUCAACACCUUAUAAAUAUUUAUAUUCCAUAUUUUAAUCACAUAAUUUUUAUAUUUGCACAUUAAUUAAUUUAUCAAUCAAAGGGAUAUUGCCGUACGUAGCGACCUCCGUAUGAAUCGUUGAGAAAUACGGUUUUCCCGUUAAUCUCACAAUAUAUUAUGUUCAUAAACUCAAACGCUCUCUCACGCCUUACCUUAUUUAGCUUUGUCAAACACAAAAAUCAAUGGAAGUGUUUAAUCGCAAUUGUAGAUAAGCAACGUACAACGAGCGAGUCUGAAUAAACGGCGAGUUCAAAAAAUCACCAUGAUGUGACUGAUAAAUUAUGCGGAGCAUAUUAAAUACUCAAUAAUAAUUUUUGCAGCAAAAUGAAGUCAAAACGACAUAAAAAGUCUCAUCGACUCGUCGGAGCGCCGUAAGGGUAUGACGUCAACUUUACUGAAAAAUGCAAAAUGAGUAGUGUUUCAUGAAGGUUUCGACGCGAGGAAUGCAAAAACUCUGCCAAUGUUUUGAGAUGAUAAACGUGAUGAUUGACCAAAAUAGCUCGCCCAAGGAAAGAAACGCAAUUAUUUUUAUGAAACAGAGCCACGAUCGAUAAAAUUGAUGUCAAAAAUGGAUUUAGUGGCCGAUUUUGGGUGGGAUCGAUUCAAAUAACAAGGAAUUGAUGGGAGUGAAUUUGAGAGAAAAAGGGUUUAGUGUUGCGGUUGCUCUGUUUUUUAUUGCAGAUGGAGGGGUGCAGAUAGCAUAUGGACAAAUAGAAGAGUAAAACAAUCUGUAAGCCGAACACAUGAGCGUCCUCUGUGACAGAAAUUGGGGUGUAAUAAGCAACCCGUAGGUGUAGGAAAGAAACGUCCAACCAAUAAUAGCCAAAUUAGGCUAAAUUACAUUCGUGGUCCUUUAACUUUGUUUUUUUUUUUCUUCCCAUUUCAGUAUUUUAUCUUUUGAAAUAAUUUCAAUUUUACCCUUUAAGUGAGAUUCCGUUAAGGCAACGUUAACAAAUUCCCUCAUCCGUUUUCUUUCCAGUUUUUUCUCUUUGAUAUUUCUAAAUCUCUUGUUUGGUAUUCUCAUCUCCACUGAUUUCCCUCUUCUCAUUUUUGUCUUCUUAUUUUCCUGUUUUCUUCUCUCAUCUCCACUGAUUUCCCUCUUCUCAUCUCCGUGAAAUCGUUUUCCUCUGCGUGUUCUUCUCUUGUCCCACUCGUUUUUGUCUUAUCAUUUUCUUCUUCCAUCCAUGAAAAAUCAUAUUCACGGUUCCCAAAACUCAAAAUCCAUGGCCGCCUCAUGUUCAAAUGGGUCAAAUACACAGUCCUACAACUAUGGUUCUUUCGUUUCCAAUGGAAUUCGUGAGCUGCCAAAUUGUGCUUGUGGUUUGAAACAUGUGUUUCGCACAGUGACAAAAUGAGGUCCGAACAGAGGAAGAAAGUUUUGGGGUUGUAGGAAUUUUGUGGUAAGCAAUAAUACCCUUAUGGUUUUCAAUAUUUUAGUUGAGGUUGUUAGAUUAGAUUUUGGGAUUUUGUUUUUCAUAAUGGUUUUCUCAUAUUAGGGUUUUAGAUUUAUGGUUUUUUGGUUCAGAUUAGAAAUUUGUUUAUUGUUGAUUUGUUAUUGAUGUUGUCUUUGUUCAUCAAUUGUAGAGUCAUGAUAUUGAAUGUAGAUGCAAUUACUUUGUUUGGGAUUCAGACUAUAUGCCUCAAACACAACAGAGAACUCCACAACAACUACAUACACAAUGUUUAGAGUGCCCCCAAAAGGAGUUGGAGAUUAUGACUCUUAGGAAUGUCAUUUUGAAGAUGCAUGGAGAUCACAAGUCAACCAUUAUUAAGAUGAAGUUGCUGCUAUUUUUAUGUGUUUUGUUUGGUGUAGCAUGUGUUGUUUUAUUGUUGAUCUUAGCUCUAAAAUGAGCUUAUUGUAGUAGAUGUAAUUUUCUUGAGGUUGAUGUAGUAGAUUUGUUGUAAGUAUGUAGUUAUGAUAGAGUUUGUUGUAUGGAAUUUGGAACUAUUAAUGUAAUUUUCUUUUGCAUCAAUUGUGGCUCCAAUGUUCUUGGUUGUUAUUUCUUUAAUUAUUACUGUCAAUAUAAUGUUUGGUUUGUCUGCAGUUGUAUUAUUAAACAUUAGAUUUAAAUUGAUGAAAAUCAGAAAGUCAACACGGUGCUAUGAAUCUCAGAAAAUCAGAAUUGAGAUCCAUAAAUGAUUCAUUCAUAAGGAAUGCAUAAUCAAUAAUUCUGUUUCAGGUGGUACAAAACGGCAUACAAUGUUCAUAAAUCAUUUCCUGCAUAAUUCAUUCAUAAUCCAUAAUUCUGUUUCAAGUGGUACAAAACAGCAUACAAUGUUCAUAAAGCAUUUCCUGCAUAAUUCAUUCAUAAUCCAUAAUUCUGUUUCGGGUGAUACAAAAUGACAGAAAGUGCUUGACUAACAAAAAGUGAUCAUAAACUAGCAAAAAGUGACAGAUCCUAAUAUUACAAUUUCCAUGUUUUGAACUUUGGUCUAAAAGUGCUUGAAUGAGCUUGAGCUUGAGCUUGUGCAGGCUGGGACUGAGCUUGUGCAGGCUGGGACUGGGACUGAGCUUGCUGGGACUGGGACUGAGCUUGCUGGGACUGGGACUGAGCUUGCUAGGACUGGGACUGGGACUGGGACUGAGCUUGUUGGGAUAGACCUUGUGCAGAUUGUAGUUUGCAGGGUCUUCCUCUGCGUUUGACAGGUUGUGUGGGUUGGUUUUUCUUGGGUCUUCCUCUGGUUUUGAUAGGUUGUGAUUGGGCUUGGGCUUGGGUCUGGGCAGCUUUAAUUUGGGUUUGAACAACUUCAGUUUGGGCUUGGACAACUUCAGUUUGGGCUUGACCAACUUCAGUUUGAGACUGGCUUUCUUGGGUUUGGCUUGGACAUGAUGCCUUGUUAUGACCAGAUUGUUUACAGCUGCUGCACUUACUUGACAUCCCUUUCCUACUAAUCAUUGUCGAGUCCUUAUUUUUUUCAUCGCCAUCUUUGUUCCUUGACCUUUUGGGCCUUCCUGGAAGCCUUCUUGAUGGUGGCGGUAAGACAUCAGGAUAUGGAGUUUAAGCCCAUAUAUUUUGUCCAUUUGUUGGGUAAAUAACAGGUCGGUAACAUGCGACAUAUGUCUCUCGCAUAUAAUAUGUUGGAAUCAAGUCUUCUGGAUCUUUUUUGAGGAAGUUGCAACAACAAACUGCAUGGCAGCAGGGAAUUCCAGUGAGCAUCCACUUCAUACAUGAACAUUCUCUAUUUUUCAGUGAUACCAUAAACUUGUCUCCUGUGUGGUUGAUGUUACUAACUCCAAAUAUAUUUUCACCAGCAUACCUUGUUCAAUAAGAAUAAGAAGAAUUAACACAUGAUUUCAUAACAGAGUCAGAAUCAGAACAGAAUCAGAUUUCAGAGAUGAACAGAAUCAGGAAAAUGAUCAGAAUCAGAAAUCAUAAUUCAGAAUUCAGGCAGAUUUCAAAAUAACAAGAUCAGAAUUAUAGAAUUCAGGCAGAAAUCAAGAUCACAAUCAGGCAGAAAUCAGGUAGAAUUCAAUAUUACCUACACAACCAGGCAGAAUUCAUAGCAUAAACAUGAUCAGAAUCAGGCAGAAUUCAUAGCAUAAACAGGAUCAGAAUCAGGAUCACAAUCAGGCAGAAUUCAUAGCAUCAACAGGAUCAGAAUCAGGAUCACAAUCAGGCAGAAUUCAUAGCAUCAACAGGAUCAGAAUCAUGCAAAAUCAGGCAGAAAUCAUAACUCAGAAUUCAGGCAGAUUUCAGAAUAACAGAUUUCAGAAUUCAGGCAGAUUUCAGAAUAAUAAACAUGUUUCAAAAUCAUAGCAUAAUAAACAUGUUUCAAAAUCGAUUUCAGGCAGAUUUCAGAACCAUAGAAUUAAAAAACAGAACAAAACCAAAGCAUAAAAAACAAUAUUACCUACACAACCACAUUCUUGAUAAUUCUUGUUCCUUUGCUAACUUUUUCUUGAUUUGAGGCAGAACAGAACAAGUGUACCUUUCCAAUGUAGUUCUAUUUCUAGCCCACCUUUCCAUUAAGUACAAUUUGAUGUCUUCAAACAUUGUCACUAUGGGUUUUCCUCUAGGUCCAAUUAUGACACUAUUGAAUGGCUCUGACAUAUUAUUAACAAGCACAUCACAUUUAGAAUUGAAACUAAAUCUUGACUUUGACCAAAACCUUGGAGGAAUCUUCACUAAAUAUUUGUAGGCCUCUUCGUUAACUUUCCUCAACUCUUUCAUUUCUCUUUCCCAUGCUUGAUGAUAUGUUGACUUGGCUGCCUUCCACAUCAAUUCCUUAAGCUUCUUCCUUGGGUGAAUUUUUCUGAAGUUGUUAUACAGGUGUCUUACACAAAAUCUUUGUUCCACCCCAGGAAGCAACUCAUCCAUUGCAGGCAAUAGUCCCUUACAUAAACAACAAAAAAUAAUGAAUAUGGACUUUAAUGUGUGCUCUAAACCGAAUUACCAAAACAGAAAAUAUGCAGCUUUCUAAAUUCUGCAGCUUUCUAAACAGAAUUAGCAAAACAGAAUUCUUUCCCUGCCUCAUUGACCAACAGAAUUACCAGGAUGAUUUGAUGACAGAAAAGUAGAAUGCAGAAUCAUACAGAAUUACUAAAACAGAAAUAUGCAACUUGCAGUCUUGCACAAAACAGAAUUAUUAAUCUAACAGAAUAACAAAUCUAACAGAAUUACCAAAACAGAUUUACCAAUCUAACAGAAUAACCAAAACAGAAUUUUCAAUCUACCAAUCUAACAGAAUUACCAAAACAGAACUUUAAUGAGUACCUUUUGCUGAUCAGAUAUGAAGGUGUAGGACUUGCAUGCUUGUUGUCCACCCAAGUCAUUAAUUAAUAAUUUAAGGAACCAAGUCCAUGAAUCUCUUGUCUCACCUUCAACUACAGCCAGCUUUCUAUUUGAUGCUAAAAAAUAUGCAUCCUGCAACUUUCUAUUUGAUGCUAAAAAAUAUGCAGCUUGCAGUCUUGCACAAGGUGACUAGGAUAUGUAUUUCCAAUCUAAACUAAAUUACCAAAACAGAAUUACCAAUCUAACAGAAUUAACAAAACAUAAUUACCAAUCUAACAGAAUUACCAAUCUAACAGAAUUACGAAAACAGAAUUUUGAAUCUACCAAUCUAACAUAAUUACCAAAACAGAAUUACUAAUCUAACAGAAUUACCAAAACAUAACUUUAAUGAGUACCUUUUGCUGAUCAGAUAUGAAGGUGUAGGACUUGCAUGCUUGUUGUCCACCCAAGUCAUCAAUUAAUAAUUUAAGGAACCAAGUCCAUGAAUCUCUUGUCUCACCUUCAACUACAGCCAGGGCAAUUGGAAGCAUUUGGUCAUUUGGAUCUCUACCUACAGCAGCAAGAAUCAUACCCCCAUAAUACCCUUUAAGGAAACAACCAUCGAGACCAAUUAUUGGUCUACAAAUCAGGAAACUCUCUUUACAUCCAUUAAGACACAUAUAUAGGCGUUGAAAACUAGGUAAAAGUGGUCUGUCCACAUAGUCAGUUACCUCUGAAUUUGUAGCUUGGACUUCUAACUUAACUGUACUAUUUGGAUUCGAUCUUAAUAACUCAUGACAAUAAUCAUACAAUCUUAUAUAUUGCUCUCUUAAUGAUCCAUCAACCAUAUCAAUUGCAACCCUACGUGCCCUGAAUGCCUUCAUCUUACUUACUCCAGCAUUCCACUUUUGAUGAACCUUGUUAGAAAUAUCUGUAAUUUUUAUGUUCGGGUUCUCUUUAACUGUUGAGUACAAUCUUUUCCCGAGCCAACUUGCUCUCAUAAAUUUCACCUUAUACUCUCUAUUACAUGAAUGUGUGUCAACUAGUUUCCUAAGUUGCCAUGUAUCUUCAUCAGGUAACUUUGCACAAUAGGCAAACCACUCACAACCUUCCUUGCAUUUAACUCUCACUCUUAGUUUGUCAUUUUUUAUAAACUUCAAAUCCCUCCCAUUAUGAAUGGCAUAUGUUGUCAUAGCCUCCUUAAAUUCUUCUUUGCCAGUGAAAAGGGUUCCUAAAACCCACUUAUAAUCUUCCAUUUUUUUUUGCAUGACAAAUAAAGGAUACUUAUCAGUUUCUUGUGAAUCAUCACUCUCCAAUUCCUCUGUAAAAUACUCUUCAUCAAAUAAUUCCUUCUCACUUUGCAUAUUGGCCUCUUCAUCUUCAUCCACAAUAUGUUCUUUCUCAACACGAAUCUUCUUAGGUCUCCCUUUUUUGUUGUUGGUACUUUCUUUCUUCUUUUUGUUAGUAUUAGACCCUUUCUUACUUGCACCUACCCCUCCUUGUCCUUUAAGUCCGUCACCACCUAUUUGGACCUCAUCAAACCCAUCAUUCAUGGGCAAUUCAUCAUCAGAGUCUCCAAAAAUUACAUUAACAACACUAUCUUCACCGUCAGACUCAAUAUUGUCUUCUGUUUGGGUUGCACUUUGGGCUGGUUCAUGUGUAUCAUUUCCUACUUUAGCAGCUUCUUGAGCCUUAGUCUGCACAUUAUCCACAUGUUGUGGGCCUGUUUGGGUUGGUUCAUGGGUUUGUUUAGCUUCAUCUUUUUGAGUCUUAUUCUCCACAUUAUCCAUAAAUAUGGGCUGAAAUAUUGGAUGAAUAAGAUACAAAUUCACUUUCCCAUUAGCCUUGGUAAAAUUUACCAUUUCCAUUGCCCCAAUGUCAUUUUCCAAAAACUUUUUCUCACCAUACGCCUCAUACCAUAUACUAACAACUUCAAGAUACCUCAUUUGUUUAAUAAUAUCAAAAAUCUCAAAGUAACUCCACCUAUCAGCAUCACAUUUCCAAUUAGAAACUUCACCUUGGUACACUUCCAUUGUUUCAUCCAAAAAAUACCCUCCAUGGUGAACAUCGACGAAAAAGACAUCCAUUCUGCUUUUUUACAUUGAAAACACAUAAAAAAAACCCAUUAAUAGAAAACUAUAAUCAAAUGGUAGGGACCACAGAUCUGACCCCAUAAUCUUAGAAAAACAGGAAGGAAUAUGUAUGUGUGGACCACAAACCCUUGACCCAAAAUAAUCAACACAUGUAAGAAUAAAAUCAUUCUAAAUCAAACACAUGCAACUAAUAAAUACCAUAAGAACCCAACUAAACCCUAAAAUAAAUCAGAUCAUUAAACAUCAGAAUCCACAAACACAUUACCUUUUCCUCUCAAUGUGCGAUUACGAUUUCUUGAAGCUUCACUCCGAUGGUGUGUUCUUCGAUUCCUUAUAGUUAUCGUUGAAAUUAAUUUACGAUUUCACAGAGAUUCAGGAAGAAAACGCGAAGACGAUAGCAUUUCACGGAGAUCAGAGAAAAUAAAAACAGGAAAAUAAGAACAUGCAGAGGAAAACGAUUUCACGGAGAUGAGAAGAGGGAAAUCAGUGAAGAUGAGAGAAGAAAACAGGAAAAUAAGAAGACGAAAAUGAGAAGAUGGAAAUCAGUGGAGAUGAGAAUACCAAACAAGAGAUUUAGAAAUAUCAAAGAGAAAAAACUGGAAAGAAAACGGAUGAGGGAAUUUGUUAACGUUGCCUUAACGGAAUCUCACUUAAAGGGUAAAAUUGAAAUUAUUUCAAAAGAUAAAAUACUGAAAUGGGAAAAAAGAAGAAGUUAAAGGACCAAAACGUUACCUGGAAUUAAGUUAAAGGACCACAAAUGUAAUUUAGCCGCCAAAUUAAUAUGCAGAAGUAGGAAAUAAGAGUGUAAAAGUCGUCUGGUCCAAAAUUCAUUUUUUAGUAUUUCUAAAAGUUAUUUAUAAAUAAAUAAUUAUUUUACUUAUCCAUGCUAGAAACGUUUUAUGCAAAAUACUCAUGUUAACAUAAUAUUAUUUUGGCUAAAUUACAUCUGUGGUCCCUUAACUUAAUUUCAGGUAACAUUUUAGUCCUUUAUCUUUUUUUUUUUUCCGACUUAGUCCUUUAUUUUAAUUUUAAAUGACAAUUUGAUAUUUUAUGUUUUAAAAUUUCAACGUUAUCCUUUUUUAAACAAAAAUUCAAAAGUCUGACUCUGAGGAAAGUCAAUGUCUAUGAUGAAAAAGUCGACGUCACAUGAAAAAGUUGACGCAACAUGAAAAAGUCAACUGAACAUAAAAAGUCAACGAAUCUAACUAUGAUAAAAGUCACAACUCUGGAAACUGACUCUAAAGACACGUUCUACACACGACUCCGAAACAUAAUAUGAUGAAGGCGUACUGCCUCUAAUUGUGAUACUAAAGAUUCAAAUGACCAAGUAGUUACUUUUGUCCACACUCUAAUGGAUUAAAGAAAUGCAAUGCAAAAAAUUCAUUAUUGAUAUGGUAACUUACAAUUCUCUUAUUGAUAGUUUUCUCAAAUUUAGGAGAAUCUCAUAUGAUUUGGAGUUUGUUAGUCGGAUGCAUGAUAGAGUUCAACCACCUAAUAUACUCACUUACAGUUCUAUCUUGGAAAUAUUGUUGGGUUGGGAUUUUACAAAUUGUAUUGCAUUUGCUCUAGCCAAUAUCUUAUACUCUCAUUUUAUCUCAUGUGGAGUAAACCAGCUUUUAUCUCAUGUGGUUCUGUCAUUAACUGAACUAUUGUUCAGGCACAAGCUUGGCAUUUAAAUUGAUGUGUAAUGAGUAGAAUAUGUGUUAAAGAGAAGUAUUGAGAGUUGGAAAGGUCAUGAAAUUGUUGUGAGGAACACAACUUAGAGUUUAGAUCUUGAAUGCUUAUAGGAAGCAUGCUUCUAUUUUCUGCAUAAUUGCAGAUUUUGGUUACAUGUGGUGUUAAAUCGUAGACUUAGUGCUUAAAAUUUAAGCAAUCUAUAUGGAUGACAUGAAAGAUGGUUUAAAAGAUAUACAAACUGCGACAUGGACACCUAAUACGACCAACACUUCGAUACUACUAAUUUAAAAGAUACACGACUCCGACACCGAUACAUAUAUGAUAGUUUUUCACCUUCAUGGAUUCAUCUACUUCCGGAAAAAAUAAACUUGUUGUAAUUAAAUUUCAUGUUUUUAACCUCCAUCAUUGCUUUGACACAUCUUUAACCCCUGUAGUUGUGUUUGAGAUGUGUCCAAGGGGUUAAAGGUGUGUCGAGGUGAAAAAAAAUAAGUUUUAUUUUUGGAACACUUAUUUUAGGUAUCAUACGGGUGUCGGAGACUGACAUGUCUAACCUCAAAGGUGUUCAUACUUCAUAGUUCAUAUCCACUUCUAUUUUGUAUUUUAGACUAUUAUGAAAAUGUCAAUUUUUAUUUUAUUUUCUUUUGAAGGGGUUUGUGUGAUUUGUGUCACUUUGUGAUAUGGUUAGGAUUGUUAAGUGAAUAAUGUUUUUCUUCCAUGUUUUGUGGUUAUCUUUAUGCUUCAUUUGAAGCUUAGUUAAAUUUGUUCAUCAUUGAAGGUUGCUAGUGAAUUGGAAGUUGCAAACAAGUGCCAAAUGAAAUGCUAAUAUGUUAUAUGUUGCAUCUGAAGUAGAGUGAGAGUGAAGCAUGCAAGCUGAAAACUCUUCUUCCCCUUUCCCCCAAGUGUAUUUUCAUUAGUAAUAAUUGGAUUAUUUAUAUUGUGCUCCACAAAGACUUCAAAUACUUUGUACCUUUCGAUAUCUUUUGCAAAUUUACUACAUUAGCAUAUUUGUUGAGAGAUCUUAGUACACGUGCAAACGAGUACUUGAGAUGUUGGUAUCACAAACAUUUGUUGCUUCUAUAUCCUAAACUUUUAAUCAAUUUGGUAAAUUUUAUGUGGAACAUUAAGUCUACCGUCUACAUCCCAAUAUCAAUUCAUCUCAUCCCUUUGGCUACUGAAAUAAUUAUUCACCGGAUAAAUUACAAGAAAUGUGUCUAGGGUUCAUGACUUUCUAACUUGGGUAUUUUUUGAUUCAGUUCUGAUUUUUGUAAUUUUGUAACUUGUGUUUUAUAAUAAAAUGUUUAUUUUUAAAUGUUGUAAUGUUUUUUUUUUAAUUCAACAUAAUGAAAUAAUGGCAUUAAAUUUGCCAUCUAUAUCUUUAGGUUAUUUGACACAUCAUUUAAAAUUAAAAAUAUGACACAUUGUAAAUGAAAUAUGGAGCUAAUUUCAUGAAUGAGAUAAAAUAGGGAGACCAAAAGUGUAAUUCAACCUAAAUAUAAAUAAAUUGAUAAAAAAAAAAACCUAAACAUAAAUAAAAAUACCAAACAACUUUAAAAGGAAUAUAAUUGUACCAAUAAAACAAUGUACUACACUAUAGUUAACUAGAUAUUGGUCCGUGCUUUGCGCAUGAACAUUUGAUAUAUUAAUAGUUAAUAUAUUAAAUUAAGAUUAAAUUGUACUUUAACUUUAUAAACAUUACUCUUUGAAUUUAAAAUCAAAGAUGAUUAGUAGAUAAUAGUUAUUAAAUGAUAUAUUAGAAGUAGACAAAUAUUAUGUUACACAAGUGAGACAAGAUCUGCAUCAUACACAAAACUUUUAUCGACCAUUGAAUUAAUAAGUUUAAUGAUUCGGCCAAAUGAGAUAUUACGAGACUUAAUGAUUCAAUGGUAGAAGAUAAACUCAUGCAAGGUGCAAGAUGGUUUUACCUAUGCACAUUAGAAAAAACUAAAAAAUGUAAUCAUCUUUAAUAUGUUCAAAAUAAUUGAUAAUGAUUUAAAAAAUUAAAGUUAAAAUAUUUAUUUGAACUAAUUAAUUAUUUGGACAACAUUUUGUUUAGUUUAUAUUAUAAUUGUUAUUGUUGCAUUUCUAUUUAAAAAAAUUUAUGAGACAAAAUCGAUCACAUUCUCCAUAUGAAGUGAUAUUGAGGGGUGUGAAAAAUUCUUCCCUUAACCUUAGAUAUUUCAAUGACAAUUUUUAAACCAAAAUAUUGUCAUUGCUUUAUCAACCAAGUUCAUGAGUUCUUCACUAAAAAGAUAUUCAAGACAUGAUUUUAAAUUGUGUUACCCAACUGCCGUUUUAACGACAUUGCAACUAUAAUUUAGACCGCAUUUUUCUGCAAUUUAAAAAUUUGUAGCGCAACAGCGACAACAAACGUAAUUUAAAAUCAUGAUUCAAUGAAUUGAUAUCAUUGUCACUUGAAACAAAAGACCCUCCUAGUUCUUAAUUAAAAUCAAAGAAACAAGUAAUAAGGGUGCAAGUAUACAUUUUAAAGGAUAUAAUAAGUUAAUAACCAGUUUCUAUGAUAAUUAAACUUGACAAUUUAAUAUGGUGACAGGGAAAUUACUUUGCAGAAAUCAAACAUGCAGUAAAACUAUGCCUGGAUCAUUAGGACAUGAAGAGCAAGAUGCAAAAACAUUUGCUUCAUGGGUAAUAAUAAUAAUAUGCAUUUCAUUAUAUAAGCUUAUAUACUGUAUGUAUUUAAUUAACAUCAAGUUUCAUUGUUAUUUUAGGAAAUUGACUAUUUGAAGUAUGAUAAUUGUGAGAAUAAUAAUAUAAACCCCUAAGAAAGGUAUAUAUGUGGUUUUCAAAUUGCAUAUACAAAUCAACUAAAUGCUUCUAAAAUCUAUGAAUUCAUGCAUUUUGUGAAAUAGAUAUCCAGCAAUGAGUUAAAAUAGAUAUACAGUUGGAGAACAACAGGAGAUAUUUAAAUACAGCAUGAAUCUAUUUCAAAGAAUUUCAUAAUCUUGUACUCAAUUUAGAACCUGACCAAUGUUUGCAUCAGAUCCAUGCUUUACUGAACACUUGACAGAGACAUAGCAUUAAAGACACAGUUGAUGCAAGAGAUUUAUGGGAGGUGAAAGACAUAGUUUGACUUAUUUUGUUCUUCACAAUCCCAUGAAUUCAUAGCAUUAAAGACACCUAUAAUGUUUUGAGUUUUUGACUAUUUAUAUUGAAAUUUGCAGCAUUCAACACAAUCAUCAGUUUCUUGAGAUAUAUCUGCUGAAUUAGACUCACAUGCUUGUAAGAUGUGUGUCCUGAGUCCGAAAUAAGUUCUCGAUAUAUUUAGACAGAAGGAGACAAACAACAGAAGUCAGGACUACCACAAAUGCAUUGGCAAUCAUUCGAGGUUCCGUAAAAGGAAACAGAAAUCAAUUGGAAAUUUAUUUGUCAAUAGGAAAUGCAGNNNNNNNNNNNNNNNNNNNNNNNNNNNNNNNNNNNNNNNNNNNNNNNNNNNNNNNNNNNNNNNNNNNNNNNNNNNNNNNNNNNNNNNNNNNNNNNNNNNNNNNNNNNNNNNNNNNNNNNNNNNNNNNNNNNNNNNNNNNNNNNNNNNNNNNNNNNNNNNNNNNNNNNNNNNNNNNNNNNNNNNNNNNNNNNNNNNNNNNNNNNNNNNNNNNNNNNNNNNNNNNNNNNNNNNNNNNNNNNNNNNNNNNNNNNNNNNNNNNNNNNNNNNNNNNNNNNNNNNNNNNNNNNNNNNNNNNNNNNNNNNNNNNNNNNNNNNNNNNNNNNNNNNNNNNNNNNNNNNNNNNNNNNNNNNNNNNNNNNNNNNNNNNNNNNNNNNNNNNNNNNNNNNNNNNNNNNNNNNNNNNNNNNNNNNNNNNNNNNNNNNNNNNNNNNNNNNNNNNNNNNNNNNNNNNNNNNNNNNNNNNNNNNNNNNNNNNNNNNNNNNNNNNNNNNNNNNNNNNNNNNNNNNNNNNNNNNNNNNNNNNNNNNNNNNNNNNNNNNNNNNNNNNNNNNNNNNNCCUUUGACCAAAAGAUCUUCAAAAAUCUUUUGGGAAUCCUUUAUUCGUCAACUUUUACACAAUCCAUUGAGAAGAAUAUUAUACGUGCACAUAUUUGGUUGAAUACCCAAGUCUUUAAAUUUUUUCAAUAAUGCAACUGCCUUAUCAUCAUCAUUGCUUUUGCAUAAAGCAUCCAAUAUAGAAUUGUAAGUAUAUAUAUCAGGUGGUUGGCCCCUAUCAUGCAUCUCACCAACAAGCUCCAAAGCAUAUGUAAUUCUCCCCGAUUUGCACAAACCAUCAAUGAGGGAAUUGUAAGUUACAACAUCAGGAACAAUUUUUCUGUACUGCAUUUCUUUGAAGAGGUUCAUGGCUUCAUCCACCAUUUUAAUCUUACAGAGUCCAUUAACCAUGAUACUGUAGCUCCUAACAUCAGGAGCCACUCCCCUUUGGGCCAUAAUGUUGAGUAUACUCUUAGCCUUGUUCACUUCAUUAACGAGACAAUAUCCAUCCAUUAAACUGUUGUAAGUAACAAUAUUCGGCUUUAUGUCAUUUUUCAUCAUCACAAGAAACACAUUUUUAGCUUCUUUCAACUUCCCUUCCUUACAAAAAGCAUCAACCAAUAUAUUAAAAGUAUACAAAUCUGGGUUGAUGUUUUCCAUUGUCAUUUUAUUAAACAAAUCAAUUGCUUCUUUUAAUUGACCCAUGAUGCAAAAGCCACUAAUUAAAGCAUUGUAAGUGACAACAUCGGGAGAAAUUCUCUUGACAACCAUUUCAGAAUAUAAAUCACAUGCAUCAUAAACAAGUUUAUCUUUGCACAUACUAUCAGCAACUCUAGAGCUGCUCUUGUUUCUCCAACUUUACAUAACCCAUUGAUCAAAGUCCCGUAACUAACUUGAUUCAACUGAAAUCCUUGUGCUACCACCUUGUCAUGAAAGUGCAAUGCUUUAUGAACCUCACCUUUAAGACAAAAACCCUUGAUGAGUGUGGUAAAAGUUAUUGUAUCAGGAUGAUAACCCCUUUUGAGAAUCUUUGAGAAAACAGAGAAAGCAAAAGUGAUAUGACCCAAUUGGCAUAAACAAUUGAUUAAGAGAUUGCAAGUUACAAAGUCAGGGUUGAUUCCCCUUAGUUCCAUUUGUUGAGAAAGGGAAAUAGCGUAACCGUACCUAGGGGUGUUCAUGGUGCAAAAACUGAACCACAUUAAUGGUUUGGUCUAGUUCUUCAAAAUCACUUUCAAAUCAAGUUCAUUGCAGUUUUAAAUUGGAUUGUAACUGAUUUAUAAAUAUAAAACCACAUUAAUAUUUUGAACAAAUUUUUAGUUAAAAUUUUCAAACUAGUUAUUCGAAAAAAAUAAUUUUGAAAUUCUUUUGAUAAAAAAAUAUUGAUUUUGUUUUAAAAAUUUUUUUAAUUUUUUUCGAGAAAAAUAAAUGUUAAAUGUGGGUGUGGUGAAGCGGAUUCCAUUGAAAACUUGUUGAUAACUAUGUAUGCAAAUUGUAGUGACCUUACAUUUGCUAGAAGAAUAUUUGAUGCGACCGAUGGAAAAAAGUGUUUUAUCAUGGACAUCGAUGAUUGCGGGAUAUGCUCGUUUAGGUCAUCCUUCGAAAUCAUUGAAUCUAUUUAGAAGGAUGAUAAGGACAUAAACUAGACCUAAUGGAGCAACCUUGCAACUGUUUUAUCAGCUUGUGCUGAUUUGGGAUCACUCAACACUAGGUAAGUGAUUGAAGAAUACAUCCUUCGAAAGCAUUGAAUCUAUUUAGAAGGAUGAUAAGGACAUAAACUAGACCUAAUGGAGCAACCUUGCAACUGUUUUAUCAGCUUGUGCUGAUUUGGGAUCACUCAACACUAGGUAAGUGAUUGAAGAAUACAUCCUUCGAAAGCAUUGAAUCUAUUUAGAAGGAUGAUAAGGACAUAAACUAGACCUAAUGGAGCAACCUUGCAACUGUUUUAUCAGCUUGUGCUGAUUUGGGAUCACUCAACACUAGAUAAGUGAUUGAAGAAUACAUUUUCAAAAACAAAUUUGAAUCAGACCAACAAGUUCAAACCUCUCUCAUACAUGUACUCUAAAUGCAGUAGCAUCAAGAAAGCAAGAGAAGUAUUUGACAGGGUCAAAAAUAAAGAUUUAACUAUUUGGACUUCCAUGAUAAAUAGUUAUGCCAUCCAUGGAAUGGGGGAUUAAGCUAUUAGCCUCUUCGAAAAAAUGACAACAUUAGAAGGGUUAAAACCAGAUUUCAUUGUUUAUUCUAGUCUUUUGCUUGCAUGUAACCAUUUAGGAUUGAUAGUUGAUGGAUUAAAGUACUUCAAAAGAACGCAAACAGAUUUCAGAAUAACUCCUACAAUAGAACACUAUACUUGUUUGGUAGAUCUUCUAGGCCGAGUUGGCCAACUUGACCUAGCUUUAGAUACAAUUCAGGCGAUGUUGUUGGAAUUACAAACAUGAGCUUGGGGUUUGUUGCUUAGUGCUUGUAGGAUCCAUGGCAAUGUUGAGCUGGGAGAGCUUGCAGCUGUCAAGUUAUUCCAACUUACUCCAAGAAGUUCUGGAAGUUACAUAUUAAUGGCUAAUUUGUACACCUCAAUUGAAAAGUUUAACGAGACGAAUACAAUUCGAAACUUGAUAGAUGGUAAAUGAAUGGUUAAAGAAUGUGGUUGGAGUCAGGUUUAGGUUAGUGGUUGAUUUAAUGUUUGUUGUGGUAAAUCAAUCAAAUUGUUGUAGUAAUAAUAAAGAUUAACUGAAAAAGAAAACAAAUUGGGGGAACCUCUUAAAGCUAAGGUUAUCGAACAAGUUGUUAAACUUGCAUUUGGUAAUGUCAAUAGUACUUCCAGACUCCAACAAUUGAAGAACAUGGAAUCAUUUCCAUGAAUGUUAAGAAGUGCUUUUUAAUUAAAAAAAAAAUCAGUGUGUACUUGAACUGAGUCUGGUUCUUAUCAAAGUAAGGACUUACGGUAAAGUGAUAUUUGUUACUUUCAUGUGAUUCAAAUUGUAUACACAGAGAAAGUAAAUUGAAAAUAUCAUAACUUUAUUAUCCUUUCUGAUAAAUAUUUCUGUAGACGUUCCUUGAUGACUACUUUCAUUUUGGUGCUAAUAUAGAUGGAAAAUAAUUAUUGUUACGAGACAAGUUUGAAGGGAAAAAAAGCAAGAAAUUUAUGUGGCAUUGUGUCACAUUUUCAAGUUAUAAGUAAUAUCCACCCUCUCUUCCAUAUAUGACUAAUAGAAUCUCAUUGGUCAAAUAUUUUAUUUUUAUGCAUUAUUGUCUUGCGUGUAUAAAUUCUUUGUAAGAAAUAGCAAUGCUCAAUGUAUAUUUAUAUAAAGUUAUGUGCAAGUAUUCAAUAAGUUUCAAAUUACACUAUACUCUCCUCCUAGUUUUAAAUAUAAGCAAAUCUAUCUAACUUCAAGCUUAUUAAAAUAAGUAGCAAAGUGCAACUAGUUUUCUUUGAUCUCAUAAAUUAAAUGAUGAGUAUUUUGAAAAUAAUAGUAUUGAAAUUUAGUUAAAAGUUACUAAUAAUAACUUGCUGGAGCAAGACAUGGAACACUGGUCUGCUCAUAAUCGAUAACUGAUACCUAAAAGAGAAAAUACACAAAAGUAUAAGUGGAAUACUCCAUAGUUUAAACUAUUUCUAAAAUCCACAUAAUAGUUCGGAAACAGACAUUAAUGAAAACUCAAGUGUACGAAUAUAAAAAGAAAAAAAAAAUACACCUCAAAUGAGAGCAACUGUAUAUAGAUUUGUAUAGCAUUUCUCUGUCACAAGGUUAUUUGGUAUCCAAACAAUUAAAAGAAUCUCCUUUUAUAUGGCUAUUGCAAAUUUAAAAGAGAACCAAGUCAAAGCAUUUUGGAACUCCAGUGUAAUUUUAAUAAAAACUAGAUGCUAACCCGCGUAUUGCGCGGGUAUAUUUUUAUUUAUUAAAUUUAAGUGGAUUUAGAAGAAAAAAAAUAUGAAGUUUUAUGUCCUAAUUAAGUAUUUAUAUCAAUAAUAUAUAUACAAUUUUACCAAUAUAAUUAAUAGAAGAGAAAUACCAAUUUAGACGAAUGACUUGAAUAAAUAAAAUAUCUAAUUAAUAUUGAGAUCGUUGGAUAUGUUAAAUAUUGAAGUAAUAUAUUUGAUAAUUGAAAUUAAGAUAUACAAUUGAGUUAAAAAAUAUAUUACUUUAUUGUUGAAACUAAAAAUGAUUAAAGUAAAAUACUUGGAAAUACGUUCAUUUUGUAUUUUAUUUUAUUAUUUUUUUGUUGUCUCAUUCGAUCAUUUUAAUCAUACAUCUUUACGGUAAUUGUGAAAUUUUUUAUUUUAAAUCGGAUAUAUUAGAAUUUUAAUUUACAAACAUUCAAAUUGUUAUUAACAUUAAUAGAGUAAUCAUAAUGAUUAACAUUUUGGUUUCAAAAUCGAAAUCCAAAAUUUAUAACAAUUACAAAAUAUUAAUCCUCAAACAAUUAUAAAUAUAUAUUAAAUAUAAAUAAUUGCAAAUGAAUUACUUUAAUUUCAUACCAAUUAACACUAUAAAACAAUAAAUUUAAUUUAAAUAAUUUCAGUAAAAUAAAGUUGACCAAAAUUCAACAAACAUAUUUUGUCCAUCAUUUCUAAAUAUUUAUAUGCUAUAUAUAUUUACCAAUAUUCAAAAAUGAAAAUCAAAUAUAAAUAUUUUUUUGUUCUCUCNNNNNNNNNNNNNNNNNNNNNNNNNNNNNNNNNNNNNNNNNNNNNNNNNNNNNNNNNNNNNNNNNNNNNNNNNNNNNNNNNNNNNNNNNNNNNNNNNNNNNNNNNNNNNNNNNNNNNNNNNNNNNNNNNNNNNNNNNNNNNNNNNNNNNNNNNNNNNNNNNNNNNNNNNNNNNNNNNNNNNNNNNNNNNNNNNNNNNNNNNNNNNNNNNNNNNNNNNNNNNNNNNNNNNNNNNNNNNNNNNNNNNNNNNNNNNNNNNNNNNNNNNNNNNNNNNNNNNNNNNNNNNNNNNNNNNNNNNNNNNNNNNNNNNNNNNNNNNNNNNNNNNNNNNNNNNNNNNNNNNNNNNNNNNNNNNNNNNNNNNNNNNNNNNNNNNNNNNNNNNNNNNNNNNNNNNNNNNNNNNNNNNNNNNNNNNNNNNNNNNNNNNNNNNNNNNNNNNNNNNNNNNNNNNNNNNNNNNNNNNNNNNNNNNNNNNNNNNNNNNNNNNNNNNNNNNNNNNNNNNNNNNNNNNNNNNNNNNNNNNNNNNNNNNNNNNNNNNNNNNNNNNUAUAUAUUAUAUAUAUUUACCAAUAUUCAAAGUAGAAAAUUAAAUACAAACAUUUUUUGUUCUCUCUUUCGAUCAUUUUACUUAUCGAUCUUUGUGGUAAUUGUGAAUUUUUUUUACUUUAAAUCGGAUAUGUUAGAAUUUUAAUAAUUUACAAACAUUCAAACUAUUAUUAAUAUUAAUUGAAUAAUCAUAAUCAUUAAUAUUUUGAUUUGUAAACCGAAAUCUAAAAUUUAUAACAAUUCUAAUAAUUACAAGUAUACAUCAAAUAUAAAUAAUUGUAAAUGAAUUACUUUAAUUUCAUAUCAAUUAAAACUAUAAAACAACAAAUUAAAUAUAAUUAGUUUCAGUACAAUAAAACUAACCAAAAUUCAAAGAGAAAUAGUUUUUUUCCAUCAUUUCUAAAUAUUUAUAUAUUAUAUAUAUUUACCAAUAGUCAAAGUAAAAAAUCAAAUACAAAUAUUAUUUUUUUCUCUCACUAUCAUUUUAAUGAUCGAUCUUUGUGGUAAUUUUGAUUUUUUUUAACUUUAAAUCGGAUAUAUUAUAAUUUUAAUUUACAAACAUUAUUUCUUAAAUUAAUAUUAAUUGAGUAAUCAUAAUCAUUAACAUUUUGGUUUCAAAAUCGAAAUCUAAAAUUUAUAAAAAUUCGGUUACAAAAUAUUAAUUGUCAAACAAUUAUAAGUAUACAUCAAAUACAAAUAAUUGCAAAUAAAUUGCUUUAAUUUCAUGUCAAUUAACAUUAUAAAACAACAAAUUAAAUAUAAUUAGUUUCAGUACAAUAAAACUAACCAAAAUUCAAAGAGAAAUGGCUUUGUCCAUCAUUUCUAAAUAUUUAUAUAUUAUAUAUAUUUACCAAUAUUCAAAGUAAAAAAUCAAAUACAAAUAUUAUUUUUUUCUCUCACUAUCAUUUUAAUAAUCGAUCUUUGUGGUAAUUUUGAUUUUUUUUAACUUUAAAUCGGAUAUAUUAUAAUUUUAAUUUACAAACAUUAUUUCUUAAAUUAAUAUUAAUUGAGUAAUCAUAAUCAUUAACAUUUUGGUUUCAAAAUCGAAAUCUAAAAUUUAUAAAAAUUCGGUUACAAAAUAUUAAUUGUCAAACAAUUAUAAGUAUACAUCAAAUACAAAUAAUUGCAAAUAAAUUGCUUUAAUUUCAUGUCAAUUAACAUUAUAAAACAACAAAUUAAAUUUAAUUAGUUUCAGUAAAAUAAAACUGACUAAAAUUAAAAGAGACAUGACUUUGUCCAUCAUUUCUAAAUAUUUAUAUAUUAUAUAUAUUUACCAAUAUUCAAAGUAAAAAGUCAAAUAAAAAUAUUUAAAUAUAUAUAAUAGAUGAAAUUAAAGUAAUUUAUUUGUAAUUAUUUGUAUACUUAUAAUUGUUUGACAGUUAAUAAUUUGUAAACAAAAUGUUAAUGAUUAUGAUUCAUUUGUCAAUAUUAAUAAUAGUUUGAAUGUUUCUAAAUUAAAAUUCUAAUAAAUCCGAUUUAAAAUAAAAAAAAAUUCACAAUUACCACAAAGAAGAUCGAUUUAACGUUUGAAAAAUUUCUAUAAUACAUUCAGAUUUGUGUUCUGAAAUUUAAAAUGAUCUAAUUUACUCAAUUCAAUUCAAUGUCAGACAUCUUUUAAACAUGCUUAAAAUUAUUUGAGUCAAACUUUUUCAACUGCAAUUUGUAAGCUACUCAACAUAUACUACAUUGAAGUAAAACUAAGAAUAUGAGACACACAAAGCAAAGUGACACUUAAAAACAACUAAAGAAGGAAAAGAGUUUAGAAGAGAGAUGGAAAAAAUAUUGAUGUAUAAAUAUACCUUGUCAUAACAUUGAAAAACACUAAUUCUUUGAAUUUUUCAUGUACCAUUUUGCUCUGGGUAUGAUGGGUAGUGAAAUUUGCCGGCCAGUCCCAUCCCAACUUGGAUUUCCAAGAUAGUCGCAGUGAUAGAAUUUCAUGUAAGAAACUAUACAUAGCAUUAAGUCACUAUGAGCCAAAUUGAUUUCAAAGAUUGUAUAGAAUAUAAUUGAAUUUAUGACAACAAAAUUAGAAAAAGACAAAGAGAAUAAUUUUUUUUGUUGCAACGAACCAACCUAUACCUCUUUCAGUGUAUCUUUGGAGAAGAGUCGACAAUUUCGAAGAAGAAGAUGAUUUUGCGAGNNNNNNNNNNNNNNNNNGUGGCAUGAGAGUUGACAUGAGAGUCUGUUUUAAAUCUUGGAUUUCCUAGAUAGUCGCAGUGAUAGAAUUUCAUGUAAGAAACUAUACAUAACAUUAAGUCACUAUGAGCCAAAUUGAUUUCAAAGAUUGUAUAGAAUAUAAUUGAAUUUAUGACAGCAAAAUUAGAAAAAGACAAAGAGAAUAAUUUUUGUUGUUGCAAUGAACCAACCUAUACCUCUUUCAGUGUAUCUUUGGCUAACCUAUACCUCUUUCAGUGUAUCUUUGGAGUAGAGUGGGCAAUUUGGAAGAAUAAGAUGAUUUUGCGAGGAUGGCGAAUGACUGAGAAGUCAUUAAAAAAAUUAGGGAUUAGAGGAAUUAAAAGAGAAAAAAUUAUUUAGAAAUUAAGUAGAAAAAAAUGAGGUGAACAUGGCACCAAAAUUAGAAAUAGACAAAGAGAAGAAUUUUUUUUGUUGCAACGAACCAACCUAUACCUCUUUCAGUGUAUCUUUGGAGAAGAGUCGACAAUUUCGAAGAAGAAGAUGAUUUUGCGAGGAUGGCGAAUGACUGGAAAGUCAUUAAAAAAAUUAGGAAUUAGAGGAAUUAAAAGAGGAAAAAAUUAUUUAGAAACUAAGUAGAAAAAAAUGAGGUGAACAUGACACCAAAAUUAGAAAUAGACAAAGAGAAGAAUUUUUUUUGUUGAAACGAACCAACCUAUACCUCUUUCAGUGUACCUUUGGAGUAGAGUCGGCAAUUUCGAAGAAGAAGAUGAUUUUGCAAGGAUGGCAAAUGACUGGGACAUACACAAGAGGGAAGAAGAAAUUGUUGGAGGAAGUCAAUAAAAAAAUUAGGAAAAAAACUAUUUAAAAACUAAUUAGAAAAAAUGAGGUGAAACAUAAAAACACAAGAGAACUCUCUAAGGCGUACACAUAAGCUUUUUUGUUGAGGUGAGAUAUGUUUACACAUGUGGAAGAAAUAUUAUGAAGUGGCAUGAGAGUUGACAUGAGAGUCUGUUUUAAAUAUAUAUAAUAGAUAAUAGAUACUUUUUUGUAACUAUAUAUGGAAUUCCAUUUGUUUCCCAAUGUCAUUUUAUUAAACAUAUCAAUUGCAUCUUUCAAUUGACCCAUAAUGCAGAAACCACCAAUUAGAGUACUAUAAGUGACAACAUUAGGAGAAAUUCCCUUUAAAACCAUUUCAGUAAAUCAAGGCAGGAUUAGACCUAAGUCCGGAACCAGGAACUUCGGUUGAUGCAAGAGAUUUAUGGGAGGUGAGAAACAUAGUUUGACUUAUUGUUCUUUACAAUCCCAUGAAUUCAUAGCAUUGAAGAUACCUAUAAUGUUUUGAGAUUUUGACUACUUAUAUUGAAAUUUGCAGCAUUCAACACAAUCAUCAGUUUCUUGAAAAAUAUCUGCUGAAUUAAACUCACAUGCUUGUUAGAUGUAUGUCCUGAGUCCGAACUAAGUUCUCAAUAUAUUUAGACAAAAAAGGAGACAAACAACAGAAGACAGGACUACCACAAAUGCAUUGGCAAUCAUUCGAGGUUCCGUAAAAGGAAACAGAAAUCAAUUGGAAAUUUAUUUGUCAACAGGAAAUGCAGAAACAAAUGAAUAUAAGUUAUAUCUCUAAUAUGGUUUUCAUUGUAAUCUAUACAAUGAGGACCAUUUGAUCUCAAUACGACAUACCUUCCAAAUUAUAAAUACUGUGAAUCUAAAUGAUGUUCAUUUAACAUGUAACCGAUUUAGAGGAUACGGGAUAAAAAAACAAUUGAAAAAAGGAACUAUAAAUACUAGUAUUGUGAAUUUUACAAUCAGUAUUCACAAUGUUCUACUUCUCUAGCUAACUAACCAUUUUCCCCUAAAUAUUAUGGACCUUGAUUUUAGGCCUAAACAAGCAAACUUAUAUACAUCAACCCCAUCAGAUUUCACAUGUAUUCUACCUUUGUAUUUGUAAAGAUUCCAAAACAGUAUAUCAGGAAUGGCAGCAAUGAAUCAAUAAGAAUUGAUUGAAAUGAUAAAAUAAUGUUGAAACAUUGAUUCAAAAUAAUAAUGUUUAAAUAGAAAAAUAUCUUACCUACUUUCGGUCUUAAAGAAGACCUCUCACAAUCAUUUCUCGAAGAAGUUUCUUCGCUUUUUCAUUUUCAUCACUUUUGAACAGAGAAAGAAUAAUUAUUUCGUAAGUUAAAGAAUUUGGAAUGCAGCCAUUGUCUUUCAUUUUUGAGAACAAAUCCAACGCUGCGUCCAACAAGCCCUUGUUACAAAACCCUUGGAUCAUAACGGUCCAUGUACAAACAUCUAGAUCGUAGCCUUUGAGCAAAACCUGUUUUCCCGUUCUGCAGUUUUCUAAAAUCAGUUUUUUCUAUCAAUGCAAACGAAAAUAAAGAAGGAUAAGGGAAGAAUAACACCAAGAAUUUACGUGUUCGGUCUCAAUUGAUGAGACCUACGUCACGGGCAAGCAAGCAAGAUUAAUCCACUGUGAAUGAUUGAACUUUACAAGAUUAAAGCCUUCUCAAGAUUGAUCUCCUAGUAUCUAUCACUGUUUAUGAACCAGCAAUACUAGCAUAUCUCUCAAUCUUUCUUUUCUCCCUUUAAUCUUUCUUUCUCUCUGAAUUUCUAUGAAUCAUAAAUUUCAUAAGUCUCUCUUAGUUUUCAGCUCUCACUAUUACAACAACAUUUUUUCUUCUGCCAUAUUACAGCUUCAUUUAUAUUAUACAAGAGUAAACUAACUAACCACCUAUGAUAACUAACUUGGCCAAAGGUAGUUAUAACAACCACUAAAGCUUAACUAACUUUAGUUAGAUGAUUUGAGACACACAUUCACGAUUCUCCACCUUGACUCAAUAUCAGAAUAAUUCAAUCUUUGAUCUUGCUGCCAUUGCUUCAUCUUUACUCUUUGUUGAAGCCAACUAUGUCCAAGCAAUGCUUGAACUUAGCUUGUGAAAGUGAUUUGGUGAAUGCAUCAGCUAGGUUAUCCCCGAUUGCAAUCUUCUCAACUGAAACAUGCUUUGAAUCGAUCACAUCUCUUAUGAAGUGAUACUUAACAUCAAUAUGUUUAGAAUUAUUAUGAUACACUUGAUGCUUGGAUAAGGGUAUAGCACUUUGACUAUCACAAUAAAUUGAAACACAAUUCUGAUUUAUUCCUAGUUCACCAAUAAUUCCUUUCAUCCAUAAAGCUUUUUUAACCCCUUCAGUAAGCGCAAUGAAUUCAGCUUGAGUUGUAGAAAGUGCUACCACCGAUUGUGUAAUUGCUCUCCAACUUACCGCAGUCCCAUAUAGAGUGAAAACAUAACCAGAAAUUGAUUUUCUAGUGUCCGUGUUUCCAGCAUAAUCCGAUUCCACAUAUCCUUUGAUUGGUACCUUGUCAUGAUGAGUCUUUUUGAAUUUUAAACUUGUUGUUAGUGAGCCAUUUAAGUACCUCAUAAUCCACUUAAGUGCUGACCAAUGCAGUGCUCCUGGAUUUGUCAUAAACCUGCUAACAACAUUCACAGCAUACGCCAAAUCUGGCCUGCUACAUAUCAUUCCAUACAUUAUGCUGCCAACUCCACUAACAUAAGGAAUGGUACUCAUUCUUUGUCUUUCCUCAUCAGUCUUAGGUGAGUCUUGCAUAGACAAUUUGUAAUUUUGUCCCAGAGGAGUAGUAACUUGUCUUGCCUCAUGCAUUCUAUAUUUAGUGACAACUUUCUUCAGAUAGGCAACUUGAGAAAGAAAUAGUUCUCCUUUCAUUCUAUUUCUUUUUAUAUCCAUUCCUAAGAUCCUUUUGGCCUCUCCAAGUUCUUUCAUCUCAAACUCAUUUCUAAGAUCAGCUUUGAGCCUUUUAAUCUGGUCUUUACUUGAACAUGCAAGAAGAAUAUCAUCCACAUUGAGUAAUAGAUAAAUUGGAGAACAUUCUUGACUUUUCUGAAAAACUAGAGAACGUUCUUGAGCUGGAGAACGUUCUUGAUUUUUCUCUUUCAGAGUGUAAACACAACUGUCAAAACUACAUCUUUGGAAACCAGAUCUAAUCAUGACAUCAUCAAACUUCCUGUACCAUUGUCUAGGACUUUGCUUUAGGCCAUACAAUGAUUUUUUAAAAAGACAAACCUUGUUUCUGCCUUUAGCGACUCCUUCAGGUUGCUGCAUAUAAAUGGUUUCUUCCAGAUCACCAUGUAGAAAUGCUGUUUUGACAUCCAACUGCUCUAAUUCCAAGUCUUGUUGAGUUACAAUUGAAAGCAGAAUUCUGAUUGAACAAUGUUUUACAACAGGUGCAAAUACUUCAUUGAAAUCAAUUCCUUCAAGUUGAGAAAAUACCUUUGCAACUAAUCUUGCUUUGAACCUUAUCUUCUCUUUACCUUGAAUGCCUUCCUUUCUCUUGAACACCCAUUUUGAUUCAAUUACCCUUUGACUCUUAGGAAUGUCAACCAAAACUCGGGUUUGAUUCUUUUCUAGUGAUUGCAUCUUUUCAUUCAUUGCUAUCAUCCAAGCUCCUUUGUCUUCACUAUUAAUGACUUCCAUGUAGUUGCUUGGUUCAUCUCUUUGAAGAUCUUCAGCAACACUUAAAACAUAACAAAUUAAAUCUGCUUCACCAUAUCUGGUUGGAGGCUUGAUAACCCUUCUUUCUCUAUCCCUUACCAAGUUGUAAUUGGCCAAAUCUGUUUCUGUUGCAGCAUUAUCAUCAAGUGACGUAUCAAUAAUAUCUUCAUGAUUACUCUCUUGAUCUCCAGGUGACUCCACCUCAAACUGAGCAUUCUCUUCAUUGUUGUUUGAAGCACUGUUAAAUGGAGAACGUUCUGCGUUUCUGCAAUGUUCUUCAUUUCUGCAUAAUUCAAACGGAGAAUGUUUUGCGUUUCUGCAGAACUGAAACGAAGAAUGUUCUGCGUUUCUGCAAUGUUCUUCAUUUCUGCAAUUCUGAAACAGAGAAUGUUCUGCGUUUCUGCAGAACUGAAACGAAGAAUGUUCUUUGUCAAUCAUGGGCAUUCUUGUUUCAUCAAACACUAUAUCUCUUGAUAUGAUGAACUUGGGCACACCUUGGUCAAUUCUCCACAACUUGUAACCUUUUAUUCCUUUAGGAUAACCAAUGAAAACACAUUUGAUUGCUCUAGGAUCCAACUUAUCUUGCCUUGUAUGAGCAAAUGCUAAGGAACCAAAUACCUUCAGAUUUGAGUAGUCUGUUGGUUUGCCAUUCCACAUCUCAAUUGGUGUCUUAAAUCCAAUAGCUAAUGAAGGGCAUCUAUUUAUCAAAUACACUGAUGCAACUGCAGCUUCUCCCCAAAAUGUUUUAGGCAGUCCUGCACUCAAGAUCAUACAUCUAACUCUUUCCAAGAUUGUUCUGUUCAUCCUUUCAGCAAUACCAUUUUGUUGAGGGGUGCCUACAACUGUUCUAUGUCAUUGAAUACCCAAGUCCCUGCAAAACUUAUUAAACUGCUCUGAAAGAUACUCCAGGCCAUUGUCAGUUCUUAAACAUUUCAGCUUAGUUUCCUUUUGAGUUCCAAUUUGCAUAUGCCAUUCUUUAAAUUUCAUAAAAGUGUCACUUUUAUUUUUAAUGAUAUAGAUCCAUACUUUCCUAGAAUAAUCAUCAAUUAUAGUUAAGAAGUAAGAACAACCAGCAUGAGUUUUUGUCCUUGAAGGACCCCACAAAUCAGAAUGAGCAUAUUCAAAAGGUCUAGAGGUGUUUUGUUGGCCAACACCAAAACUGCCCCUCUUAGACUUUCCUAGAAUACAAUAAUCGCAAAAUUCCAAUUUUUCAAUUUUGUCACCAUUAAGCAAAUUUUGUUUUGAUAACUCAAUUAAGCCUCUUUCACUUACAUGUCCUAACCUCAUAUGCCAUAUUCUAGAAGAUGAGUGCAAAUUAGAGCUAGCAACUGAAGCUUGUGCAAUUAUAGUAGAACCUUGUAAAAUACACAAACCAUUUCUUUUAAUGCCUUUAACAAUGAUAUCAUCUUUAUUAAUAAUAGUCAUAAUACCAUUCUUUAUGUUUGUGGAAUAUCCUAAAAUGUCAAACACACCAACAGAAAUUAAAUUUCUUUUUAAUUCAGGUAUGUACCUUACAUCAUUGAGCAGUAACUCCUUGCCAUUGAACAUUCUGAAUCUGAUUGUUCCUUUGCCUUGGACUUUACAUGUUUUGUUGUUGCCAAGAAGAACGACUCCACCGUAAAAUAAUCCUUUCUUGGACACAUGUGGAAAGUACAACCUGAGUCUAAUACCCAGUUCUUUUCACCUUCAGAAUUUGAAAUCAUCAAUGCCUCUGAAACUUCAUAACCAGCAUCAACAAGUGCAGCAUUUCCUGAAUCUUGAGAGUUUCUUGAUUCAUUUCUUUCUGGGCAAUCUUUCUUGAAAUGUCCCUUCUUGUGACAAUGAAAGCAUCUAUACUUCCCUUCAGAUUUUGACUUUGAAUUGGACCUUUGUUUAUUUCCAUUUGAUCAUUUCCUUUCAAUUCUUCCUCUGGUCACAUUCAGAAUUUCAGCAUGAUUACCAUUCUUGAACUCAAUUCUUUUAUAGCUUUCCUUUGUCCAGAUAGAUGCAUGAACUUCUUCAAGAGUAAUUGUUUGUUCUCUUCCAAACAUUAUAGCAUCCUUGAAAUGUUCAUAUGAAUUUGGCAAGGCUCUAAGCAAGGUCAGAGCUUUGUCUUCAUCAUCUAUCUUGACUUCUAAAUUUUCUAAAUCAUUUAGAAUCUUGUUAAAAUCAGCAAGUUGCAUUGUAACUGGUUUAUCUUCAUCCAUUUUAAAUGAGAACAAUUGUUGUUUCAAGAAGAGUCUAUUUGAAACCGAUUUAGUCAUGUAGAGAGAUUCAAGCUUAAGCCAUAAGGCUGUUGCAGUUGGUUCCCUUGCAACUUCCCUCAAAGCUUUGUCUCCAAGGCGCAAGAUGAUAGUGCUCUUUUGCUUUUUCAAUCAAUUCUUCCUUUUCUCGUGCAGUCAUUGUUGCAGGAAGAGCCGAUUCACCCUUCAACGCAUUCACCAUGCCUUGCGGUACCAAAACAACAUGCAUCUUUAUCUUUCAUAGACCAAAAUCAUUUGAUCCAUUGAAUUUUUCAAUGUCGAAUUUUGUGGUUCCAACCAUUGUUACUCCUUUUCCCACAGACGGCGCCAAUUGUUAAAACAAUAUUGGGAUCUGCAACUUAGAUUAACCAACAAAACAUAAAACAAACAAUUGCAGAGAAAAAACGAAAACGGAGAAUGUUCAGAAAACCAGAAAAUGGAGACUGAUUAACGUUCUCCGUUUUCUGCAGUUUUGUAAAACCUGUUUUCCUUUCUGCAGUUUUCUAAAAUCAGUUUUUUCUAUCAAUGCAAACGAAAAUAAAGAAGGAUAAGGGAAGAAUAACACCAAGAAUUUACGUGUUCGGUCUCAAUUGAUGAGACCUACGUCACAAGCAAGCAAGCAAGAUUAAUCCACUAUGAAUGAUUGAACUUUACAAGAUUAAAGUUUUCUCAAGAUUGAUCUCCUAGUAUCUAUCACUGUUUAUGAACCAGCAAUACUAGCCUAUCUCUUAAUCUUUCUUUUCUCCCUUUAAUCUUUAUUUCUCUCUGAAUUUCUAUGAAUCAUGAAUUGCAUAAGUCUCUCUUAGUUUUCAGCUCUCACUAUUACAACAACAUUUUUUCUUCUGCCAUAUUACAGCUUCAUUUAUAUUAUACAAGAGUAAACUAACUAACCACCUAUGAUAACUAACUUGGCCAAAGGUAGUUAUAACAACCACUAAAGCUUAACUAACUUUAGUUAGAUGAUUUGAGACACACAUUCACAAUCUUUUUUAGAAAGGGAAUAAAUAAUUAUUUCAUAAGUUAAAGCACUUGGAACGUAGCCAUUGUCUUUCAUUUUUGAUAACAAAUCCAACGCUUCGUCCAACAAGCCCUUGUUACAAAACCCUUGGAUCAUAACAUUAUAUGUAUAGACAUCUAGAUUGUAGCCUUUGACCAAAAGAUCUUCAAAAAUCUUUUGUGAAUCCUCUAUUCUUCCACCUUUACACAAUCCGUUGAGAAGAAUAUUUUACGUGCACAUAUUUGGUUGAAUACCAUUGUCUUUAAAUUUUUUCAAUAAUGCAAUUGCCUUGUCAACAUCAUGGCUUUUGCAUAAAGCAUCCAAUAUAGAAUUGUAAGUAUAUAUAUCAGGUGAUUGGCCCGUAUGAUGCAUCUCACCAAAUAGCUCCAAAGCAUAUGUAAUUCUCCCUGAUUUGCACAAACCAUCAAUGAGGGAACUGUAAGUUACAACAUUAAGAACAAUUUUUAUGGACAACAUUUCUUUGAAGAGGUUCAUGGCUUCAUCCACCAUUUUAAUCUUACAGAGUCCAUUAAUCACGAUAGUGUAGCUCCUAACGUCAGGAGCCACUCCCCUUUGGGCCAUAUUGUUGAGUAUACUCUUAGCCUUGUUCACUUUAUUAACGAUGCAAUAUCCAUCUAUUAAAGAGUUGUAAGUAAAAAUAUCAGGUUUUAUGUCUUUUUUCAUCAUCACAAGAAACACAUUUUUAGCUUCUUUUAACUUCCCUUCCUUACAAAAAGCAUCAACCAAUAUAUUAAAAGUAUACACAUUUGGGUUGAUGUUUUCCAAUGUCAUUUUACAUAACAAAUCAAUUGCUUCUUUUAAUUGACCCAUGAUGCAAAAGCCACUAAUUAAAGCAUUGUAAGUGACAACAUUAGGAGAAAUUCUCUUGACAACCAUUUCAGAAUAUAAAUCACAUGCAUUAGAAACAAGUUUAUCUUUGCACAUACUAUCAAUAAUCGUGUUGUACAUUACCACAU